This 481-nucleotide ribosomal RNA is filed under the name uncultured bacterium. RNAcentral describes it as "partial 16S ribosomal RNA". It matches the Rfam family "Bacterial small subunit ribosomal RNA", at positions 30 to 506 of the family's 1533-position model. The record is from RNAcentral.
AUUGAACGCUGGCGGCAUGCUUUACACAUGCAAGUCGAACGGUAACGGGCCGCAAGGUGCUGACGAGUGGCGAACGGGUGAGUAAUGCAUCGGAACGUGCCCAGUCGUGGGGGAUAACUACUCGAAAGAGUAGCUAAUACCGCAUACGAUCUAUGGAUGAAAGCGGGGGACCGUAAGGCCUCGCGCGAUUGGAGCGGCCGAUGUCAGAUUAGGUAGUUGGUGGGGUAAAGGCUCACCAAGCCAACGAUCUGUAGCUGGUCUGAGAGGACGACCAGCCACACUGGGCCUGAGCCACGGCCCAGACUCCUCCGGGGGGCAGCAGUGGGGAAUUUUGGCCAAUGGGCGCAAGCCUGAUCCAGCAAUGCCGCGUGCAGGAAGAAGGCCUUCGGGUUGUAAACUGCUUUUGUACGGAACGAAACGGCUCUGGUUAAUACCCGGGGCUAAUGACGGUACCGUAAGAAUAAGCACCGGCUAACUACGU